CAGUCGCCGCGGUAACACGAAGGGUGCGAGCGUUAAUCGGAAUUACUGGGCGUAAAGCGUGCGCAGGCGGUUGUGUAAGACAGGUGUGAAAUCCCCGGGCUUAACCUGGGAACUGCGCUUGUGACUGCACAGCUAGAGUAUGGCAGAGGGGGGUGGAAUUCCACGUGUAGCAGUGAAAUGCGUAGAGAUGUGGAGGAACACCGAUGGCGAAGGCAGCCCCCUGGGCCAAUACUGACGCUCAUGCACGAAAGCGUGGGGAGCAAACAGGAUUAGAUACCCCAGUAGUCCCUGUCUCUUAUAC
This 301-nucleotide ribosomal RNA is filed under the name uncultured bacterium. RNAcentral describes it as "partial 16S ribosomal RNA". It matches the Rfam family "Bacterial small subunit ribosomal RNA", at positions 509 to 807 of the family's 1533-position model. The record is from RNAcentral.